This is a long non-coding RNA of Penaeus chinensis, 673 nucleotides long. RefSeq lists it as uncharacterized. The record is from RefSeq and is a predicted model, not a curated record. The transcript is spliced from 3 exons. NCBI's taxonomy places the organism in Eukaryota, Metazoa, Arthropoda, Malacostraca, Decapoda, Penaeidae.
GUUGGCGGUUGCCGAGUAUUCUCGCGCGAAGAUCGACCGCGUAAUCUGACAUUAUUGACUCACACUCCCAAAAGUAUGAUGUAUGGUCCUCGACGGAGCUUUCGCAGCCUCUAAGGAGGGAUGAUGAGGUGGCAGAUCCGAGGGAGAGCCGAGACGUUCAGCGCGGGCGAUCUUGUCUCCACACCCACCACGCUCACCUGCCUCCAGCCUGUAUCCAGCGGUUUCUCUGUCUCCAGCUUUCCUUGCAUAUGAAACUAUCUACAACUUGCAAAUGACAUAUUAAGUCAAGAAGAUGUCAUAUAAACAAGAAAGUGCAUGCAGUGAUUGUGCAGUCUUCACAGCAGAAGAAAACAACAAUCUACUUAUGUACAAAUCUAACAAAAAGCUGAUUAGUCUUUUAUCAUAUAUAUCCUGACAAUCAAAAGCUUUGCUCUCUCCUAUUGAAACCUAGUGUCACAAAUAUAAUGAGCAUUCUCAUUACAUUAAAGCACAAAUACCUAAGUACACUUCUGAAAUAAAAGCUAUGAGUAAAAUAUCAUGUACCUGCUAAGUCCAAAGAGGAACUUUCAACAUUGAGUAAUCUCAAGUACAAUUUCAAACGGCCUAUCAAUAAAAAUGUUCAAAAAUCUUCUCUUUAGAUGUACAUAAUUACAUACAUACAUACAUACAUACA